AGAUGAAUUCGCAGCGCUGAAAAGGGUGAGGUUUGGGCACAGGCGGGUUUUUUUUGGGGGGGGGGAAGUGAUUAAUGCGAUUUACAGGCUCCGUUCCUCCGGCAACACCUCGCCAAAACACGGUGAAAAAAUUCCCUCUGCUGGCUAAACGAGGAUUGUGGUUUUUCCCAACUUGUGCUGGUUUAACCCCAAAUUCCCACCCGCGGGCCUGGUGAAAUUUUUCAGACCGAAAGAAAAAACAAACACAAAAGCCCCGGGGUGAGGGGGAAGAAACUCCCCCAACGGUGUUUCCCACCCGUCCCCUCGCUCCCGGCGGGUUGAAUUCAGUAGCCACGUGGCUCGUUUUAAUGGUCCUUGUUUCCCCCCUCUGCAAGCGGCCGCGAAGGUGGAAGCCACCCGGCCCAGAAUGUCUCAGUUUUUACAGAAAAACAUGAAGCCGGAGGGCGAGGGCGGCGAGGCUCAGCCGAAGGAGGAGGCGACGGAGGAGCCGGCUCUCCCUCUGCCCCCGCAGCCCUACCCGCAGCCCCCGCAAGAGGACGACCAGCAAGAGAAGCCCGAGAACUUUUACAUCCGCUACUCGAGAACCCAGUUCAACAAGCUGAGGGGAAACCACGUAAAAAAAAACCCAAAACACCCCAAAAUUCCCAAGGGUUACCCGGCUCACACACGUGCAGCAUCCAGGAUCAGAAACGCUGUGCCAAAACACGAUAAUUUCUCAGUGAUUUUUCCCCAUUCUGCCUCUUUUCUGCCACCACCAGACACCAGAACCGAGAGCAAAAAGCCAGGGGGGCCUGAGGAACAUCCAAGGCCUUCCCGUUUCUUUCUGCCAAAGGCGGACUCGAAACGCUGAGAAAACCCCAAAACCAAGUUGUCAAAAAAAGCCCCGCACCCAAAAUCGCGGCUUUUCUUCCCAAAUCCCUUCAGUAAAAGGUUCUCCAGGGCUUCACCGAGCGCUUUCUCAGGGCGGGAAGAGCCGAGGGGCUUCUCCAGCCUCAAACAUCCAGCGAGUUAGAAAACAAACCGAUUUUAUAAUUAAUUUUUUUUUAAGUUCAGUAAAAAGU
This 1061-nucleotide long non-coding RNA is filed under the name Otus sunia (Oriental scops-owl). RNAcentral describes it as "lncRNA (ENSOSUG00000004559.1)". Lineage: Eukaryota; Metazoa; Chordata; Aves; Strigiformes; Strigidae. The record is from RNAcentral.